CCGUGCUUGCACGGUUGGAUUAGUGGCGAACGGGUGAGUAUCACGUGAGUAACCUUCCCUUAACUCUGGGAUAAGCCCGGGAAACUGGGUCUAAUACCGGAUACGACCAGUCCUCGCAUGGGGUGCUGGUGGAAAGAUUUAUCGGUUUUGGAUGGACUCGCGGCCUAUCAGCUUGUUGGUGAGGUAAUGGCUCACCAAGGCGAUGACGGGUAGCCGGCCUGAGAGGGUGACCGGCCACACUGGGACUGAGACACGGCCCAGACUCCUACGGGAGGCAGCAGUGGGGAAUAUUGCACAAUGGGCGAAAGCCUGAUGCAGCGACGCCGCGUGCGGGAUGACGGCCUUCGGGUUGUAAACCGCUUUCAGCAGGGAAGAAGCGAAAGUGACGGUACCUGCAGAAGAAGCGCCGGCUAACUACGUGCCAGCAGCCGCGGUAAUACGUAGGGCGCGAGCGUUAUCCGGAAUUAUUGGGCGUAAAGAGCUCGUAGGCGGUUUGUCACGUCUGCUGUGAAAGCCCGGGGCUCAACCCCGGGUGUGCAGUGGGUACGGGCAGACUAGAGUGCAGUAGGGGAGACUGGAAUUCCUGGUGUAGCGGUGAAAUGCGCAGAUAUCAGGAGGAACACCGAUGGCGAAGGCAGGUCUCUGGGCUGUUACUGACGCUGAGGAGCGAAAGCAUGGGGAGCGAACAGGAUUAGAUACCCUGGUAGUCCAUGCCGUAAACGUUGGGCACUAGGUGUGGGGAACAUUCCACGUUUUCCGCGCCGUAGCUAACGCAUUAAGUGCCCCGCCUGGGGAGUACGGCCGCAAGGCUAAAACUCAAAGGAAUUGACGGGGNGCCCGCACAAGCGGCGGAGCAUGCGGAUUAAUUCGAUGCAACGCGAAGAACCUUACCAAGGCUUGACAUGGACCGGACCGCUGCA
Molecule: ribosomal RNA, 920 nt
Filed under: bacterium
Lineage: Bacteria
Description: bacterial SSU rRNA
Rfam family: Bacterial small subunit ribosomal RNA
Source: RNAcentral